This 76-nucleotide transfer RNA is filed under the name Lentisphaerota bacterium. Its description in RNAcentral is "Lentisphaerae bacterium (anaerobic digester metagenome) tRNA-Thr". It matches the Rfam family "tRNA". From Rfam's summary of the family: Transfer RNA (tRNA) molecules are approximately 80 nucleotides in length. Lineage: Bacteria; Pseudomonadati; Lentisphaerota. The record is from RNAcentral.
GCCUACAUAGCUCAGUUGGUAGAGCGCAUCCUUGGUAAGGAUGAGGUCAUCGGUUCAAUUCCGAUUGUAGGCUCCA